GCCAGGCAUGGUGGUGCAUGCCUGUAAUCCCAGCUAUUCGGGAGGCUGAGGCAGGAGAAUCGCUUGAACCCAGGAGGUGGAGGUUGCAGUGAGCUGAGAUCAUGCCACUGCACUCCAGCCUGGGUGACAGAGUGAGACUCUGUCUCAA
Molecule: unclassified non-coding RNA, 148 nt
Organism: Callithrix jacchus (white-tufted-ear marmoset)
Lineage: Eukaryota; Metazoa; Chordata; Mammalia; Primates; Cebidae
Rfam family: Metazoan signal recognition particle RNA
About the family: The signal recognition particle (SRP) is a universally conserved ribonucleoprotein. It is involved in the co-translational targeting of proteins to membranes. The eukaryotic SRP consists of a 300-nucleotide 7S RNA and six proteins: SRPs 72, 68, 54, 19, 14, and 9.
Source: Ensembl